RNAcentral lists this ribosomal RNA (489 nucleotides) under uncultured bacterium. Its description in RNAcentral is "bacterial SSU rRNA". It matches the Rfam family "Bacterial small subunit ribosomal RNA", at positions 15 to 507 of the family's 1533-position model. The record is from RNAcentral.
GAUCAUGGCUACAGGACGAACGCUGGCGGCAUGCCUAACACAUGCAAGUCGAACGGAGAUUAUUUCGGUAAUCUUAGUGGCGAACGGGUGAGUAACGCGUAGACAACCUGCCUUUGAGAUGGGGACAACAGUCCGAAAGGACUGCUAAUACCGAAUGUUGUGGAACUUCCGCAUGGAAGCUUCACCAAAGAUGACCUCUUCCUGAAAGUUAUCGCUCAAAGAUGGGUCUGCGUCUGAUUAGCUAGUUGGCGGGGCAACGGCCCACCAAGGCAACGAUCAGUAGGGGUUCUGAGAGGAAAGCCCCCCACAUUGGAACUGAGAGACGGUCCAGACUCCUACGGGAGGCAGCAGUGGGGAAUAUUGGGCAAUGGGCGAAAGCCUGACCCAGCAACGCCGCGUGAGGGAAGAAGGGUUUCGGCUCGUAAACCUCUGUCCUAUGGGACGAAGGAAGUGACGGUACCAUAGGAGGAAGCCCCGGCUAACUACGUG